This 253-nucleotide ribosomal RNA is filed under the name uncultured bacterium. RNAcentral's name for it is "partial 16S ribosomal RNA". It matches the Rfam family "Bacterial small subunit ribosomal RNA", at positions 524 to 776 of the family's 1533-position model. The record is from RNAcentral.
UACGUAGGGGGCUAGCGUUGUCCGGAAUCAUUGGGCGUAAAGAGCGCGUAGGCGGCUAGAUAAGUCCGGUGUGAAAGUCACAGGCUCAACCUGUGAAUGCCGCUGGAAACUGUCUGGCUAGAGUCCGGAAGGGGCGAGUGGAAUUCCUGGUGUAGCGGUGAAAUGCGCAGAUAUCAGGAGGAACACCAAUGGCGAAGGCAGCUCGCUGGGACGGUACUGACGCUGAGACGCGAAAGCCAGGGGAGCAAACGGG